This is a long non-coding RNA of Bos taurus (domestic cattle), 984 nucleotides long. The record is from Ensembl. NCBI's taxonomy places the organism in Eukaryota, Metazoa, Chordata, Mammalia, Artiodactyla, Bovidae.
CUCUUAGAGAGGCACACCUGUCUGCUAUAUAAUAAAACAUACUCCUUUUGAAUUCUAGCUUAAAUUUCACUCAAGUUUUGGUCUAGAAAAUCCAGUUUAGCAGGAUUAGUCAUCAAUAACCUCCCCCAAGAUGAAAUUUUAAGUUAUCCAUUGAAUGUUAAAGUUGAAGGUACUAAAGGUCUGAUUUGGGCCACACGAUUUAGGUGAAAACAAAUCAGAGAAAGGUUAGCAAUAAAUGAGGAGAGAAAGAGGCUUACAGGAAAGUGGAAGGGGAUUUUAGAGUCUGGAGAUGAAAAAACUAUGGGGAAGGUUUUAUGUUAACUGUGAAAGCUGUUUAAAAGCACAUCACCAAUUAUUUUUGUUGACAUGAACAACUGAAAGAAUAUCCUAGUGUUAAAACCAGAAAAAAAUUAGGUGAGCAACAGCAUCAGUAGGUCUUGACUUAUGAAGGAGAACAACACAAAGGUUUCAAUGGGAGAUGAAGGGAGAAUGGAGAAAUACAACAACAGAGGACUUGCUACAGAAGAAGAGCGCUCACCAGUGGAAAGAGCACAAGAGUUGCCUUGCUUCACAGUUUAAGAGAAGGAAGAGCUCCAGUGUUGAGAAGUUAAGCUGCCUGAGGACGUGAUGGGAAGGGGAAGCACCAGGCAAGAGAAGAGCAGCUCUCCUUGGAAGAUCAUGUAACUACAAUCAACACAACCUCUGCAGUUAUCUUCCCACCACUCACCACUUUAGGAUAUCUUUUUGUUGCCAUAGUUUAAGGCUGCUUUUAAUACUCUUUUUAUGGGGCAGGAUAACCCCCAAAAUAUCCCAGUACAAAAAUUUGUCAACAAGGUGGUCUAAUAAGGCACACAGUCAAAAAAAUAGAAACUUGUGUGUGCCUUACUUUGGGCUAAUUGUACUCAUCUCACACGCUAGUAAAGUAAUGCUCAAAAUUCUCCAAGCCACGCUUCAGCAAUAUGUGAACUGUGAACUUCCUGAUGU